This is an RNA transcript of Hevea brasiliensis (rubber tree), 1950 nucleotides long. It is a transcript of the gene named hsp70-Hsp90 organizing protein 2, with no coding region annotated. The record is from RefSeq and is a predicted model, not a curated record. NCBI's taxonomy places the organism in Eukaryota, Viridiplantae, Streptophyta, Magnoliopsida, Malpighiales, Euphorbiaceae. The transcript has 10 exons.
GUAAUUAGCGCUCAGGAUUCCAAAUUUGUAAUUACUCUCCCUCGCAGCAGUUCAGUACUGCAGUAUUGUACGCUUCUGUGAUUUCGUCGUUUAACCUCAAAAACGACACAACACAAAAACCACUAACGAGGUCUCUCGUAAACCCUAGAAAGUGGCAGGGACAAUUAUACUCCAAAGGAACACGCACAGGUCACGAGGAUCCUCUUCGCUACUGAAUAUGGCAGGAUCAGCGGCGAAUGCCUCCACGGAAGGCAAUUGUGGGGAGGAGAUGUCAUUGAAAGAUAAGGGUAAUGAAUUCUUCAAAGCGGGAAACUAUCUUAAAGCUGCUGCUCUCUACACUCAGGCCAUCAAGCUUGACCCUUCAAAUCCUACUCUUUAUAGCAAUCGUGCUGCUGCAUUUCUGCAAUUGGUUAAGCUUAAUAAAGCACUUGCUGAUGCUGAGACAACAAUCACAUUGAACCCCCAAUGGGAAAAAGGUUAUUUCAGGAAAGGGUGUGUAUUAGAGGCCAUGGAGCAGUAUGAUGAUGCCUUGGCUGCUUUCCAAACAUCUCUACAGUACAAUCCACAGAGCACUGAGGUAUCUAGAAAGAUUAGGAGGAUAUCCCAAUUGGCAAAAGAUAAAAAACGAGCUCAAGAAGUGGAGAGCAUAAGAUCCAAUGUUGACAUGGCAAAGCACUUGGAUGCCUUGAAAUCUGAACUGUCUGAAAAGAUUGGGUCUGAAGAGUGUUGUAAAGAGAUUUUCUCUUUCCUUGUUGAGACAAUGGAGGCAGCUGUAAAAUCAUGGCAUGAAACUUCUAAAGUUGAUCCUAGAGUCUACUUUCUUAUUGACAAGGAAAAGACGGAGACUGAUAAAUAUGCUCCAGUUGUCAAUAUUGAUAAGGCCUUUGAAUCGCCUCAUACACACAGCAGUUGUUUCACAUUUCUUAGACAGUAUGCUGAGGAGACUUUCUCAAAAGCAGCUUGUUUAGUUGUACCAAAAAGUAUCAUAUCUUACCCACAGGUAUGGAAAGGUCAAGGAUCAAGGAAAUGGAAGUAUGGGCAACAUGAUGGCUUCUUUGUUCAAUUUGAGUCGCCUUUCUUGCGAAAAUUAUGGUUUAUUCCUAGUACCAGUGAGAAGGGUCAAAAACUCUGCAGGGAUCCAGAGCCUCUAGACAUUAGCGCACAUGAAGUGCUUCCACGAUUGUUCAAAGAGAAGCUGCCCAACUGUUAGCAAAAUCACGCAUCUUUUGUAUGGUAUCUACCUGAGGAAAAAGAAUGUGCAUUUUUAUGGGAGGAUUGCAUUUGAGGAAGAUGAACCAGGUCCACAUUUUGACUUGACUGUGAUAUUGGAGUCCCUGGAUAGAUGUAAGCACUUUCAAGAAGGUGCUUUUUCUGUUAGCCAAGAUAGAAAUUCCAAGCUACCAUGGUGCAGUGAUUGUUGUAAAUUACAAGUGAUAGUCAAGGAUGCCGAUGGAAAUGGAGACAUUAUUUCAUUGCUUAAUGCAUCUGCGACGGAGGCCCAUAUCUUUUAUCAUUUCUACAACAUUACCUGUUUAAGCCAGGGUCAACAUCAUCCCUGCCACCUAUCUCCAUCCUCAUAUUUGAGCUCGUAUGUAGCAUGAAGUUGCAUGCUGCUACAGCCUCACCCACGGUAAGAUAGAUACAUUCCUGACCAAUUUUUCCGAUGAACUUUGUUUUUUCCAUCUUCUUAAUCACUUCACUUCGUGGGUUUGCCAGUACCAGCUACAUUAAUAAGCACACAAGUUAAAUAACUUCCAGAGAAAUCAUGAAAAUGGAAGGGCGAAGAUUUUUUUUUUUUUCUUUCUUUUGGUACCUUAAGACCUCUUCUGUCAGUGUUCUUAUUAACUUCUUCGAGCAUGCUGAUCCCACUUGUAUCUAUGCUGCCAAUAGCUGUGAAUUGAACGGAUUGGAACAUUAGGGAAAAUAAUUAAGAGUUAUAUAUACUUUCAA